AAAUUGAAGAGUUUGAUCAUGGCUCAGAUUGAACGCUGGCGGCAGGCCUAACACAUGCAAGUCGAACGGUAACAGAAAGCAGCUUGCUGCUUUGCUGACGAGUGGCGGACGGGUGAGUAAUGUCUGGGAAACUGCCUGAUGGAGGGGGAUAACUACUGGAAACGGUAGCUAAUACCGCAUAACGUCGCAAGACCAAAGAGGGGGACCUACGGGCCUCUUGCCAUCGGAUGUGCCCAGAUGGGAUUAGCUUGUUGGUGGGGUAACGGCUCACCAAGGCGACGAUCCCUAGCUGGUCUGAGAGGAUGACCAGCCACACUGGAACUGAGACACGGUCCAGACUCCUACGGGAGGCAGCAGUGGGGAAUAUUGCACAAUGGGCGCAAGCCUGAUGCAGCCAUGCC
Molecule: ribosomal RNA, 401 nt
Filed under: Escherichia coli
Lineage: Bacteria; Pseudomonadati; Pseudomonadota; Gammaproteobacteria; Enterobacterales; Enterobacteriaceae
Description: bacterial SSU rRNA
Rfam family: Bacterial small subunit ribosomal RNA
Source: RNAcentral